GACGAAGGUGGCGAGCGUUGUUCGGAAUCACUGGGCAUAAAGCGCACGUAGGCGGCGAUGUAAGUCGGGUGUGAAAUCCCUCGGCCCAACCGAGGAACUGCGCCCGAAACUGCAUUGCUUGAGGAUCAAAGGGGUGCUCGGAAUUUCCGGUGGAGCGGUGAAAUGCGUAGAUAUCUGGAGGAACAUCAGUGGCGAAGGCGACACCCUGGACUCAUACUGACACUGAGGUGCGAAAGCGUGGGGAGCAAACAGG
This 253-nucleotide ribosomal RNA is filed under the name uncultured prokaryote. RNAcentral's name for it is "partial 16S ribosomal RNA". It matches the Rfam family "Bacterial small subunit ribosomal RNA", at positions 524 to 776 of the family's 1533-position model. The record is from RNAcentral.